Molecule: ribosomal RNA, 800 nt
Filed under: uncultured bacterium
Lineage: Bacteria
Description: bacterial SSU rRNA
Rfam family: Bacterial small subunit ribosomal RNA
Source: RNAcentral
AGCGAACACUUUUUUGAACUCUUCGGAGGGAAGAGAGGGUGACUGAGCGGCGGACGGGUGAGUAACGCGUGGGCAACCUGCCUUACACAGGGGGAUAACAAUUAGAAAUGAUUGCUAAUACCGCAUAAGACCACGGCCUCGCAUGAGGGAGCGGUAAAAACUGAGGUGGUGUAAGAUGGGCCCGCGUCUGAUUAGGUAGUUGGUGGGGUAGAAGCCUACCAAGCCGACGAUCAGUAGCCGACCUGAGAGGGUGACCGGCCACAUUGGGACUGAGACACGGCCCAAACUCCUACGGGAGGCAGCAGUGGGGAAUAUUGCACAAUGGGGGAAACCCUGAUGCAGCGACGCCGCGUGAGUGAGGAAGUAUUUCGGUAUGUAAAGCUCUAUCAGCAGGGAAGAAAAUGACGGUACCUGACUAAGAAGCCCCGGCUAACUACGUGCCAGCAGCCGCGGUAAUACGUAGGGGGCAAGCGUUAUCCGGAUUUACUGGGUGUAAAGGGAGCGUAGACGGAAGCGCAAGUCUGAUGUGAAAAUCCGGGGCCCAACCCUGGAACUGCAUUGGAAACUGUGAUUCUAGAGUGUCGGAGAGGCAAGUGGAAUUCCUGGUGUAGCGGUGAAAUGCGUAGAUAUCAGGAGGAACACCAGUGGCGAAGGCGGCUUGCUGGACGAUGACUGACGUUGAGGCUCGAAAGCGUGGGGAGCAAACAGGAUUAGAUACCCUGGUAGUCCACGCCGUANACGAUGACUACUAGGUGUCGGGAGGNAAAGCCUUUCGGUGCCGCAGCCAACGCAAUAAGUAG